Molecule: long non-coding RNA, 675 nt
Filed under: Homo sapiens (human)
Lineage: Eukaryota; Metazoa; Chordata; Mammalia; Primates; Hominidae
Description: HSALNT0366072
Source: RNAcentral
GAGUAGCUGGGAUUGCAGGCAUUCAUCACCACACCCAGCACCAGGCCCAGAGGCCUACCUGCAGAACCAGGAGCCUUCCCAGAGAUGCCUGUUGAUGGAUGGCUACACUGAGAACCUGAAAUAGCGUGCAAAUAACUCUCUUCUCUGUACUUGAAGCCAAAUCGCAUUCCCAGGCAGACAUAUCCAGCGGGGAAAGAAGAAACAAGAAAAUGAAUGAUCCACUUGCACAAGAAUCUCUCCUAUGAGCAAGUGUUAGAAAUCCAUUGCUUGCUAAUGUUUGUUUGUUUGUUUUUGGAGCUGGUGUCUGGAGCUGGUUCUCCACCUGUUGUGAGUUCCUGGAAAGAUCUCAAGACCUAUCCCAUUUUCCUCCUAGUGAAGGUUGAUAUUCAUAAUAGUUGACACUCAGUACAGCACAGACACCGACCAAUUCAAACUGACAGAGGUCUUAAGCAAUUUUCAUGACAAUAUUGGUGUAUAGAGCUGAAUAUUUGUUCUACACAUAGAAGGCAUCCAAUAAAAAAUUUUGAAUUGAAUUUUAUUGGUUUAGUAGUCCUGGCUGUGGUAUCUAAUGGCCUUCUUUCAGAAGUCAGGCAGCUUUUAAUUUUUUUGUCCAAAUAUGAUCAUAAUGAUUUCUUUUCCUCCUUGAUUUAGAUUCUGCAGGAGUCUGUGAGUAAU